Molecule: ribosomal RNA, 253 nt
Filed under: uncultured bacterium
Lineage: Bacteria
Description: partial 16S ribosomal RNA
Rfam family: Bacterial small subunit ribosomal RNA
Source: RNAcentral
UACGGGGGGGGCAAGCGUUGUUCGGAAUUACUGGGCGUAAAGGGUGCGUAGGCGGGCAGGUAAGUCAGUGGUGAAAUCUCCGGGCUUAACCCGGAAACUGCCGUUGAUACUAUCUGUCUUGAAUGUCGUGGAGGUGAGCGGAAUAUGUCAUGUAGCGGUGAAAUGCUUAGAUAUGACAUAGAACACCAAUUGCGAAGGCAGCUCACUACACGAUGAUUGACGCUGAGGCACGAAAGCGUGGGGAUCAAACAGG